GUGCCCAUGUCCCCCUCUUAGACGCCUCCAUCCCCCUCACACCCCACCCAGCAUUACGCACCAGAGCCAUCGCAGAACAGAUUGCGGAAUUACCAUUAGAAUAUAAGGAGCCUGGCUGCUGCGGGCGGCAAAUGGAGAAACCGCAAGAACUUCACUUCUUCAGAAGGUUAAGGACUCAAAGUCUACUUGCGUGUAUGAAGCGGAAGGGGACGGCUCGAGGAACGAAAAACACUUGAAUUCCUCUGACACAAUCUGGAGAACCUGGAAACAUAUGCAGGGAGGAACAAGGGAAGGGAAGAAAAGAAGAAAAUUUUUCUCCUCCACAAACUCAACAGGCGAAAGGUCAGAGGAUGAGGUCGUUGAAACACAACUGCUGCGAGACUGAUGAAAUGAUGGAGGGAAAGGCAUGGAUAUCACUGCAGACUGACUGCAGGGGACCAUAAUGAACAGAAGCCCUUAGUCAGUGGACCACCGAGAAACUUCAGUAGCUCUUCAGGUAUACGCCAUAAAACUGUUGAGUUCAGUUCAUUGUUGUAGUUAAUCUGAACACCUGAAUGAAACCGUUUUACAACUUUCUGUUCUAAAGUUUAAUUUUCCAACUGAAAAAUGAAUAUAUGUUCCGUAAAGACGGUAUGUGCCACAGCACCGUGGAGUUUAGAAGUUUAGAUCAUUGCAGAAACGCAUGGCGGUAGACGCUGAAGUAUAAACCCACCCAACCAAGUCACAUUUUUCAACUCCGAAACCCUUGAAAAGGACAAGCGAACAAUUUAGAUAGAACACUUCCGUGCAACAAUUACAGUUGAGGUUCAUUGCGGAAUUUAAUAUUUUCUGGUAGCCUACAUUUUCAAGUUCACUGAGUUCCAAUAUUUGACUUUGUGGUCUUAAUUUGUUAUCUUUAAUAUUUGCACAAUUUUAAUAUGCAGG
This 924-nucleotide long non-coding RNA is filed under the name Scleropages formosus (Asian bonytongue). RNAcentral describes it as "lncRNA (ENSSFOG00015031810.1)". Lineage: Eukaryota; Metazoa; Chordata; Actinopteri; Osteoglossiformes; Osteoglossidae. The record is from RNAcentral.